Molecule: long non-coding RNA, 434 nt
Filed under: Mus musculus (house mouse)
Lineage: Eukaryota; Metazoa; Chordata; Mammalia; Rodentia; Muridae
Description: predicted gene 28131
Source: RNAcentral
GGCCUUGCUCUUAUGUCAUCUGACUAAAGGUUUCAUAGACCAAAGAUAACCAUCCAACCUAUUGGAAUACUGAAACAAUUGCUGCUUGAUUUCCACACACCACAUAAAAUAUGUGGAUAUCCUAAAUUCUACAAAAAAGAUUUGUAAGCAGAUCAAGCAAUACUGGGACUCCCUCUUCUCCAGAAGACACAUCCUGGCCUCCAUGCAGAGGAAUGUGUGGAUGGACAUAUAUUUAAGGAAGACACUUAACCAGAAAAUACUACAUACCCUCUUAAAAGACUUCUAAGAUUGUUGUCAUGCCUACCACUGACAUUCAGAUGAUGUGCAUUCUUGAUUGUGAUUACAUGUUUGGAGCUGAUGAAGGAGUUUGAAGUCUCCAGAGCAGGAAGGAGAGUGGGGAGUAGAACUCAUCAUCUUUAGGUCACUCAUCAUCG